CAGCAGCCGCGGGAAUACGGAGGGUGCAAGCGUUAUUCGGAAUUACUGGGCGUAAAGCGCACGCAGGCGGUUGCCCAAGUCAGAUGUGAAAGCCCCGGGCUUAACCUGGGAACUGCAUUUGAAACUGGGCGACUAGAGUAUGAAAGAGGAAAGCGGAAUUUCCAGUGUAGCAGUGAAAUGCGUAGAUAUUGGAAGGAACACCGAUGGCGAAGGCAGCUUUCUGGGUCGAUACUGACGCUCAUGUGCGAAAGCGUGGGGAGCAAACAGGAUUAGAUACCCCCGUAGUCCCUGUCUCUUAUAC
Molecule: ribosomal RNA, 301 nt
Filed under: uncultured bacterium
Lineage: Bacteria
Description: partial 16S ribosomal RNA
Rfam family: Bacterial small subunit ribosomal RNA
Source: RNAcentral